UGGGGAAUCUUGCGCAAUGGGCGAAAGCCUGACGCAGCCAUGCCACGUGAAUGAUGAAGGUCUUAGGAUUGUAAAAUUCUUUCACCGGGGACGAUAAUGACGGUACCCGGAGAAGAAGCCCCGGCUAACUUCGUGCCAGCAGCCGCGGUAAUACGAAGGGGGCUAGCGUUGCUCGGAAUUACUGGGCGUAAAGGGAGCGUAGGCGGACAUUUAAGUCAGGGGUGAAAUCCCGGGGCUCAACCUCGGAAUUGCCUUUGAUACUGGGUGUCUUGAGUAUGAGAGAGGUGUGUGGAACUCCGAGUGUAGAGGUGAAAUUCGUAGAUAUUCGGAAGAACACCAGUGGCGAAGGCGACACACUGGCUCAUUACUGACGCUGAGGCUCGAAAGCGUGGGGAGCAAACAGG
Molecule: ribosomal RNA, 404 nt
Filed under: Actinomycetes bacterium
Lineage: Bacteria; Bacillati; Actinomycetota; Actinomycetes
Description: Actinobacteria bacterium partial 16S ribosomal RNA
Rfam family: Bacterial small subunit ribosomal RNA
Source: RNAcentral